CUUAAAUAUUUAUAGUAAUAGUCUUAAAAUUUAAAGAAUUUGGCGGUAUUUUAGUCUAGUUAGAGGAACCUGUUUUUUAAAUGACACACCACGCAAUAUCUUACUUUAGUUUGUAUACCAUCAUUGUUAGAUAAUUUUUAUAAAAAAAUAUUAAAAUUAUAGAUUAUAAUUAUAUUAGAUCAAGGUGCAGCUGAUAAAAAAGUUAAAAUGGGUUACAAUAAAAUUUAUUUUUGGAUUAAAUUUUAUAAAAUUGGAUUUAAUUGUAUAAAAUUAUAUUAAGGGUUUAAUAUAUAAGCUCUAAAUUAUGU
RNAcentral lists this ribosomal RNA (308 nucleotides) under Cymonomus diogenes. RNAcentral's name for it is "partial 12S small subunit ribosomal RNA". The record is from RNAcentral. Lineage: Eukaryota; Metazoa; Arthropoda; Malacostraca; Decapoda; Cymonomidae.